This 77-nucleotide transfer RNA is filed under the name Streptomyces sp. RLB1-33. RNAcentral's name for it is "tRNA-Ile". The stretch from base 10 to 77 matches the Rfam family "tRNA". From Rfam's summary of the family: Transfer RNA (tRNA) molecules are approximately 80 nucleotides in length. Their secondary structure includes four short double-helical elements and three loops (D, anti-codon, and T loops). The record is from RNAcentral. Lineage: Bacteria; Bacillati; Actinomycetota; Actinomycetes; Kitasatosporales; Streptomycetaceae.
GAGCCGCGCGUGGCGGCGAACCCGAGAGCGGCGGACUCAUAAUCCGUCGGCCGUGGGUUCGAGUCCCACCCGCCUCA